ACUGAGGUUUCCAUGAUUCUAUCAUACCCCCUCCCUCUCUCGCUGUCGCUUUCUCUCUCUCUCUCCCUUCCUCUAUUUCGCCAUUUCUCACACGUAGCUAUAGGGUAUACAGAGAAAAAUUUGAUGUCAAAAAUCAAAAUCAAUGAACAAGAAUCAUUCAGAAGCAUUGAUUCAUAAGUGCAUUCAUAAAUCUAUAAUCUCUCAAUAUAUUUAUGGCCACACAUACUGGAUUGGUGUAUGUUCUAUCAACUGGAACGACCUGCCGAAACUGAGGUUGGCAACCUGGAAUCCAAGAAGGGGCAGCUGAUUGGGAUGAAAAUUGGGACAAGUUUGAGGAUGAAGGGAAUGUGAAGCCAAGAUGUGCAAGUUGUAGUUGUAUUGUAAUUUUGAUGAACUCUUGCCACUUCCAAGUUUCACAGUCAAAGAGCUCACUCUUGAUGUGGAAAAUGUUGUAGCUCCUCUUCAGUUGUCAGUAAAGCAUCUUCCACAAAAGAGGGUGUACAUGUUUCAUCAACAAAUGCUGAUCGUAACUCAGAAACGCCACCAAGUGGAGGGGAAAGGAUUGCCGAUGAUGCUCAUAGCGAAGACAGCGUAGAACUUCAGUGCAGAUGGUUCACCCCAUGCUAGAGAGACUCAGAGGUGCAUGUUUCAAUUUGCAUCUUUUUUAUAUUUUCCUUCUGCGUUGGAUUUGAAAUUUUUUAUUGGUGUCUGAACCUUUAAACCAUUGCAUGGCAUCUAUCUACACCUGUUGUUUUAUUCGAAAAUCUGAAUUUCUACAUGAUUUUAUUGGUGCACUGAACACGGGAGUGUUGAAUCUGUGUUCUCUGGGGACAGAAGUGUUGAUGAACGAAACUGGGGUGCAUUUGACGCACAUUAUGAUACCGACAUAGGCUGGGACUUCAGUUCUGGACCUAUAAAGGGUUCGAAAGAUGGACAAGAGUUGGAUGAUGAUAAAAGAUAGGUUGAAAAGUAAAGAGUAUCAACAAGGUUUUGAUGUGUAAAUGUUUAAGCACAUGUUUUUUAUGAAAUAUUCAUUUUCCCUGAAUUGAUUAGGAAUACUCACUGGCAGUUUAUCAAUUAUGAAAUAGUUAAACAGAGUGCCUAAAUGGUUGGGUUUCACAUAGAGCAGAUUAGCACAGCAAGCUUGGUUUUCGCAAACAUUUAUUUAAGUUAAUUAAAAAAUAAUAAUAAUCCAACAUAAAUAAUCCAACUUAGUCAAAAACGGCGUUCAAGAGGCAAAAAUGUAAAACAGCCACCGAACCACUCUAUGGAUGUUAAGGGUAGCUUUCUCAUGACACAUAGGACCUUUGGGGACAUACAAGAUGUAAUUAGUACACGUAGGUUGGGAGUUGGAGUAAAAAAUGCCUUAAACUUAGUCGAAAAAAGGCGUUCGGGGGGUGAAAAUACAAAAUAGCUCCCGAACCACUAUGGAUGUCACGGAUAGCUUCCUCAUGGCACAUAGGACCUGUGGGGACAAACGGGAUGUAAUUAGCACACGUAAGUUGGGAAUUGGAGUAAAAAAUGUCUUAAACUUAGUCGAAAAAAGCCGUUCAACGGGCGAAAAUGCAAAGCAGCCCUCCGAAUCACUCUGUGGAUGUUACGAGAAGCUUCCUUGUGACACAUAGGACCUGUGGGGACAAACGGCAUGUAAUUAGCACAUGCAGGUUGGGAGUUGGAGUAAAAAAUGCCUUAAACUUAGUCGAAAAAAGGCGUUCGGAGGGUAAAAAUGCAAAACAGCCCCCGAACCACUCUAUUGAUCUCACAGAUAGCUUCCUCGUGACACAUAAGACCUGUGGGGACAGACGGGAUGUAAUUAUCACGCGUUGGUUGGGAGUUGGAGUAAAAAAUGCCUUAAACAUAGUCAAAAAAAGCGUUUGGGGGCGAAAAUGCAAAACAGCCCCGAAUCACUCUAUGGAUGUUACGGGAAGCUUUCUCGUGACACACGGGACCUGUGGGGACAGACGACAUGUAAUUAGCACACGUAGGUUGGGAGUUGGAGUAAAAAAUGUCUUAAACUUAGUCAAGAAAAGGCGUUCGGGAGGUGAAAAUGCCAAACAGCCCCUGAACCACUCUAUGGAUGUCACGGGCAACUUCCUCAUGACAAAUAGGACGUGGCAGCUUCCUCAUGACUCUAUGGACAUGUGAAUAUAUUUUAGUCAUGAGUUGCAUGUAUUUUACCUUGAUGAAAAAGAACUAGAAGCAACAAAUUGGCUGGAAAAGAAGAAUAACCAUGGUUAAUGAGCUGUAUGUUAAAAAAAAGUUAUGGUUUUUUUCCUUUUUUAGCCUGAAGACCUUUUCUUUAGAAACUCUAUUUUUGCUCUUAGUGUAGCUUUCUCAAUGAAGAGAGUAUUACAGAGGUAUUUUUGCUUCAAGGAAAUUUCUGUCUGUUUUAGGCUCCAUUUGUUUUGAUGUAAUAUAAUUUACACUGAAAAUAAUUUCAUGUAGAAUAAUUUACAUCUCUUAUUUUUCAAUGUUUGGCUUCAACUCUAAAUAGUUCAAAUCACAAAUCUCAAGGCAGGCUACCAGUUAGCUAUUGCUCUGCUAUUUAUACAUAAAAAUAAAUAUAUCACAGAUUGUUUGAGGAACCAAAAAUAGACAGUGAAUCAGAAUGACAUGCUUCAUCACCAUGUAAACCAACCAAUUAAGGAAAAGAAGAAAUAGAAGCUGAAACUGUGGGAGACCAUUUUCUCUUUCGUUGUAAUUAAUAUUUCCCCCUUUCAUUAUGUUUCUUAUUUCUAAUUGUUCUUUUUGACUGUGACACUAAAAACACAAAAGGAAAUUUUGCCAUGACUUAUCCCUUCUAAGUAACCAUCAUUUUAAACUCGAAAGGUACAACAACUUGAACAAUUAAAUGCAAACUUCAGCACAGGCCUUAUAUACUAAUACACAUUUCUAUUGGCUUACUGUUACCCGACCUCAUACUCAAAGGCCAUGAAACAUGGAGGAAAGCUUUUUUUUCCGCUACAAUAUAGUAACAGAUGGCUUUUGGCAUGGACUUGUGGAUAUUCCAUUUGUGUACGGAGGACAAUUUUCACAUUCGUAUAAUCCCACUUUUUUGUUGCCCUUUGCUUUUUGUGUGGAUUUGUAUUACUUGUACAUAAUACUUUUGGCGGGGUACAUAAUACUUUUGGCAUGGAACAGACAAUUAUUGCCGUGACAUAUAGAUUACUUUUUGUCGUGGUACAGAUUACCAUGGUAAUUUGUACCAUGCCAAAUGGUCAUUUGGCAUAGUAGUAAAUAUAUUUUUGUGUACGGAGGAUAUGAUUUUCGUAUGAUUAUUUGUUUUGUACGGAAUUAUUAUUUUAAAUUGAAAUAUACUUGAUUUGUAUGGAAUUUGACAUUUAAA
This is a non-coding RNA of Camellia sinensis, 3346 nucleotides long. NCBI's taxonomy places the organism in Eukaryota, Viridiplantae, Streptophyta, Magnoliopsida, Ericales, Theaceae. The record is from RefSeq and is a predicted model, not a curated record.